This 490-nucleotide ribosomal RNA is filed under the name uncultured bacterium. RNAcentral describes it as "partial 16S ribosomal RNA". It matches the Rfam family "Bacterial small subunit ribosomal RNA", at positions 30 to 507 of the family's 1533-position model. The record is from RNAcentral.
AUUGAACGCUGGCGGCAGGCCUAACACAUGCAAGUCGAACGGUAACAGGAAGCAGCUUGCUGCUUCGCUGACGAGUGGCGGACGGGUGAGUAAUGUCUGGGAAACUGCCUGAUGGAGGGGGAUAACUACUGGAAACGGUAGCUAAUACCGCAUAACGUCGCAAGACCAAAGAGGGGGACCUUAGGGCCUCUUGCCAUCGGAUGUGCCCAGAUGGGAUUAGCUAGUAGGCGGGGUAACGGCUCACCUAGGCGACGAUCCCUAGCUGGUCUGAGAGGAUGACCAGCCACACUGGAACUGAGACACGGUCCAGACUCCUACGGGAGGCAGCAGUGGGGAAUAUUGCACAAUGGGCGCAAGCCUGAUGCAGCCAUGCCGCGUGUAUGAAGAAGGCCUUCGGGUUGUAAAGUACUUUCAGCGGGGAGGAAGGGAGUAAAGUUAAUACCUUUGCUCAUUGACGUUACCCGCAGAAGAAGCACCGGCUAACUCCGUG